ACGUAGGGUGCGAGCGUCAAUCGGAAUUACUGGGCGUAAAGCGUGCGCAGGCGGUUCGCUAAGACAGGUGUGAAAUCCCCGGGCUCAACCUGGGAACUGCGUUUGUGACUGCAUCACUCGAGUACGGCAGAGGGAGGUGGAAUUCCGCGUGUAGCAGUGAAAUGCGUAGAGAUGUGGAGGAACACCGAUGGCGAAGGCAGCCCCCUGGGCCGAUACUGACGCUCAUGCACGAAAGCGUGGGGAGCAAACAG
This 251-nucleotide ribosomal RNA is filed under the name uncultured prokaryote. Its description in RNAcentral is "partial 16S ribosomal RNA". It matches the Rfam family "Bacterial small subunit ribosomal RNA", at positions 525 to 775 of the family's 1533-position model. The record is from RNAcentral.